This 467-nucleotide ribosomal RNA is filed under the name uncultured bacterium. Its description in RNAcentral is "partial 16S ribosomal RNA". It matches the Rfam family "Bacterial small subunit ribosomal RNA", at positions 28 to 506 of the family's 1533-position model. The record is from RNAcentral.
GACGAACGCUGGCGGCGUGCUUAACACAUGCAAGUCGAACGGAAAGGCCCUGCUUUUGUGGGGUGCUCGAGUGGCGAACGGGUGAGUAACACGUGAGUAACCUGCCCUUGACUUUGGGAUAACUUCAGGAAACUGGGGCUAAUACCGGAUAGGAGCUCCUGCUGCAUGGUGGGGGUUGGAAAGUUUCGGCGGUUGGGGAUGGACUCGCGGCUUAUCAGCUUGUUGGUGGGGUAGUGGCUUACCAAGGCUUUGACGGGUAGCCGGCCUGAGAGGGUGACCGGCCACAUGGGGACUGAGAUACGGCCCAGACUCCUACGGGAGGCAGAAGUGGGGAAUAUUGCACAAUGGGCGGAAGCCUGAUGCAGCAACGCCGCGUGCGGGAUGACGGCCUUCGGGUGGUAAACCGCUUUCGCCUGUGACGAAGCGUGAGUGACGGUAAUGGGAAAAGAAGCACCGGCUAACUACGU